This 550-nucleotide ribosomal RNA is filed under the name uncultured bacterium. RNAcentral's name for it is "bacterial SSU rRNA". It matches the Rfam family "Bacterial small subunit ribosomal RNA", at positions 884 to 1437 of the family's 1533-position model. The record is from RNAcentral.
GAUCGCAAGAUUAAAACUCAAAGGAAUUGACGGGGGCCCGCACAAGCAGCGGAGCAUGUGGUUUAAUUCGAAGCAACGCGAAGAACCUUACCUGGACUUGACAUCCCCUGAAUAGUGCAGAGAUGCAUGAAGCCCUUCGGGGCAGGGAGACAGGUGGUGCAUGGUUGUCGUCAGCUCGUGUCGUGAGAUGUUAGGUUAAGUCCUGCAACGAGCGCAACCCUUAUCAUUAGUUGCUACCAUUAAGUUGAGCACUCUAGUGAGACUGCCCGGGUCAACCGGGAGGAAGGUGGGGAUGACGUCAAAUCAUCAUGCCCCUUAUGUCCAGGGCUACACACGUGCUACAAUGGUGGGUACAGAGAGAAGCAAGACCGCGAGGUGGAGCAAAACUCAAAAACCCAUCCCAGUUCGGAUUGUAGGCUGCAACUCGCCUACAUGAAGCCAGAGUUGCUAGUAAUCGCGAAUCAGAAUGUCGCGGUGAAUACGUUCCCGGGCCUUGUACACACCGUCCGUCACACCAUGAGAGCUGGCAACACCCGAAGUCCGUGAGGUA